RNAcentral lists this long non-coding RNA (259 nucleotides) under Homo sapiens (human). Its description in RNAcentral is "PREDICTED lncRNA (TCONS_00142548)". The record is from RNAcentral. Lineage: Eukaryota; Metazoa; Chordata; Mammalia; Primates; Hominidae.
GACGGAAGUCAAUGGAUGAAAUUAGCCUCUGGGCCUUGGGGAAAGCAGACCUGUCAUCCUGCCUCUGACUGCCUGACCAGAAUCUCCACUUCUGAGCUGCGGAUGCACAAGACAAAAGGAAGUGAACCCAUGACUGGCCUCAGAUGCAGAUGCCUAACAACAAACAGCCCCAUCACCCCCGGUUGAGGAGAGGAGGGGGCUGUGGCUGCAGACAGACCUCAUAUGUCUCUAAUCUGCCACCUAUGGCCUGUGUGACCCU